Molecule: ribosomal RNA, 253 nt
Filed under: uncultured bacterium
Lineage: Bacteria
Description: partial 16S ribosomal RNA
Rfam family: Bacterial small subunit ribosomal RNA
Source: RNAcentral
UACGUAGGUGGCAAGCGUUGUCCGGAAUUAUUGGGCGUAAAGCGCGCGCAGGCGGUCCUUUAAGUCUGAUGUGAAAGCCCACGGCUCAACCGUGGAGGGUCAUUGGAAACUGGGGGACUUGAGUACAGAAGAGAAGAGUGGGAUUCCACGUGUAGCGGUGAAAUGCGUAGAGAUAUGGAGGAACACCAGUGGCGAAGGCGACUCUUUGGUCUGUAACUGACGCUGAGGCGCGAAAGCGUGGGGAGCAAACAGG